Molecule: transfer RNA, 80 nt
Filed under: Cordylochernes scorpioides
Lineage: Eukaryota; Metazoa; Arthropoda; Arachnida; Pseudoscorpiones; Chernetidae
Description: tRNA-Thr
Source: RNAcentral
GUCCAGGGAUGGGUAGCCUAGUGGACAUGGCAUCUGCCCGGUAAGCGGAACAUUGUGGGCUUGUUUCCCAUCCCUGGACA